GAAAGUCCUCACGAAUGGAGGAGUCGUUGGUGGCAAGCUUGACUGAGGACAUGCCAUCUUCUACGAUUGUUGAUGAGGUAGUCUUUGCUUCACUUCUAUUUCUAUCUUGUUCGUUGUAGUGAGGAUCUUUAAUAUUGGUAAUUUUCUUUGCAGGAUGCUGACAAAAUUGUGCGUUCUAUCUAAGACUUGUUCGCUUCUUGGGGGCAAGUCCAGACGUCUCGCCCUGCUCCAUCUGAUCGUCCUGCUACUUCUUCAGAGGAAGAUUUGAAGUUCCUCAAGGAGUCGAUACUUGAGUACGUAUCCUUCAUGGAUAUGGAUAUUGGAAGGGCUAGUGCUACCAGACACAAAGAUAAACUUGAGCACUUGAGUGCGAAGUUGGAGCAAGCACUGACGCUUCCGUCGCUCAAUCUUUCUGCCGAUUUUAAAGCGACGUUGAAGGUUAUCCACUCCGAGGUCCUUUCUUUGUUGGCCAAGAAUGCUGAACUAAAGGCUAAAAGUACUUAAUAUCUUUGAGCCGUAGCUGAGAAAGAGUCUUUGCGUAUGGAGAUUAACAAGGCUGAG
RNAcentral lists this long non-coding RNA (561 nucleotides) under Olea europaea (common olive). RNAcentral describes it as "long non-coding RNA (OEUR_LNC004395)". The record is from RNAcentral. Lineage: Eukaryota; Viridiplantae; Streptophyta; Magnoliopsida; Lamiales; Oleaceae.